CGUUUUUUGACUUCACGCGGGAGGCCUGGGUCUGACAAACUUGCUCUUGAAAACCAAGGUCAGAAAUACAUAGAAUUGAAGUCGAGAAAAUGCUUUUGUUAUAAGCACCCCCAAGGAUGUGGUGUUCCUGUCACCUGUGCUUGGCACCCUUCCUCAUCCAAGUGCCACCACCUCAGAGGCUUUCCAAGGCUGUGUCCUUCUGCCUGCAGCAAAUGAGCACCCCGACUCUUAGGUUUUGGAAAUUGUUCUGGACUGAACUGUGUCCCUCCAAAAUUCACAUGUUGAAAUACCUCAGAAAGUGACUGUAUUUGGAGACGUGGCCUUUAAAGAGGUAAUUAAGGUAAAAUGAGUUCAUAUGGGUGGAUCCUGAUCCAAUGGGGUGAAUUUAUCAGAAGAGAUUAGGUCACAGACAGGCGUAGAGGGAGAGCACGUGAAGACAGAGGGAGGAGGUGGUCGGCUGUGAGCCAAGGAGAGAGGCCUCAGCCGCCCCGUCUGUGCGUCUUGUCAUGGGGGCCUGAGCUGGCGAAGAGCAAACUCUCCCCGUGCACAGGGUGCCUUGUGAGUCAAGUCCUUCUCUCCCCAGAGGCU
Molecule: long non-coding RNA, 588 nt
Filed under: Equus asinus (donkey)
Lineage: Eukaryota; Metazoa; Chordata; Mammalia; Perissodactyla; Equidae
Description: lncRNA (ENSEASG00005036219.1)
Source: RNAcentral